Hylaeus anthracinus is the source of this 1350-nucleotide long non-coding RNA. RefSeq lists it as uncharacterized. The record is from RefSeq and is a predicted model, not a curated record. The transcript has 2 exons. NCBI's taxonomy places the organism in Eukaryota, Metazoa, Arthropoda, Insecta, Hymenoptera, Colletidae.
ACAAUUCGAGGACUGCUUUUUAAGACUACGUUUAAGGACUGCGAGCUAUGACGUUGAAUGUAGCUCGUAAUGUAAUUAUAUGUAAUCGUAUCAGGCAAGGCUUGAUAUUAGAAUAAAACUGAUUAUGUAUUAUAAUUAGAUGAGUUUAUCUAAACAAAUUUGAAUGUAAUUAUAUGUAAUCGUAUCAGGCAAGGCUUGAUAUAUUAGAAUAAAACUGAUUAUGUAUCAUAGGUAGAUGAAUUUAUCUAAACAAAUUUGGAUGUAAUUAUAUGUAGAUGAAUUUAUCUAAACAAAUUUGGAUGUAAUUAUAUGUAAAUGAAUUUAUCUAAACAAAUUUGGUUGCAAUUAUAUGUAACCGUAUCAGGCAAGGCUUGAUAUUAGAAUAAAACUGAUCAUGUAUCAUAGGUAGAUGAAUCUAUCUAAGCAAAUUUGCAUCAAAAUAUAUAUAUAAGUUUCUGGCCGUUUUUUUAAAUCUCCAUUACUACACUUACAACAAAUAUAUUUGUACCACACAAUUUGUUCAUUUGAAUUACAUCUCUAAAAAUAUUUAUUUGAUGCCUUCACCUCCUCACACCCUGCACAUUAAUUUUAACAUGGCGUCAUAUUACAAGUUUUGUCAAAAUGAAAUUAAUUUGUAUCUGUAUACGUAUCAAUAUGGAUGUACCGCUCUAGAAUGUCUAGAUCGCGUCUGCCUUCGUUAAUAUUAAAAUCCUCCAAUUGUUUUCGAGCAACGUAGUUUCGAUUGCACCGGCCGACCAACGUAGUAUAUCGAAGUCGCUCGCCGCAAGUCGCUCGUUUCCUCGGACACGGUUGAUCGGAUAAUUGAUUAUUCACGUUUGCACGAUCGGAUCGCGGCGUUCGUCGAUCCGUGUUCGUUGAAUAAAAUAAAACGGGAACCGGAAAAAAAAAAAAAAAAAGACAGAGCCUCGAGAACAGGUGAAAACUGUAGGGGCGCCGGGCGACAAUCGCGAUCAAUGCGUCGCGCGUUAUUGUUACUGUCUUUCCUGUUCCCCGGGUGAAAAUAAAAACGAGGACUGCGUGUGUCCCCGGGAAACACCAUCAAUCGAUGUCGAGUGUGACGAACUUCCGAUUCAAACUACCUACGAGAUCCACCUCGUAAGAAUCAAAUGAACCGCGUGAAAAGGAAAUAUUAAGAUCAGCCGAUGCAAUCGUGAAGUCCUAACGCCAGAGCCGAGCAAAAUUUUUAUCUGUAUAAAAAUGCUAGACCGAGGAUAAGGAUAAACAAGCUCAAGGUGAUCUUAUUCUUGCUCUUGGAAGUAUCGAAGAUAAUGUGUAACGAAUUAAUUAAGAUCACCAGUUUGAUUAAAACGAUAGCCGUACAAUAAAUAA